Molecule: ribosomal RNA, 292 nt
Filed under: uncultured bacterium
Lineage: Bacteria
Description: partial 16S ribosomal RNA
Rfam family: Bacterial small subunit ribosomal RNA
Source: RNAcentral
GUGUCAGCAGCCGCGGUAAUACGAAGGGGGCAAGCGUUGUUCGGAUUUACUGGGCGUAAAGGGCGCGUAGGCGGAUUUGUAAGUCAGAGGUGAAAGCCCUGGGCUCAACCCGGGAAUGGCCUUUGAGACUGCAAGUCUUGAGUGCGAGAGAGGGUGGCGGAAUACCCAGUGUAGAGGUGAAAUUCGUAGAUAUUGGGUAGAACACCGGUGGCGAAGGCGGCCACCUGGCUCGCAACUGACGCUGAGGCGCGAAAGCGUGGGGAGCAAACAGGAUUAGAUACCCUGGUAGUCC